Molecule: non-coding RNA, 74 nt
Organism: Triticum aestivum (bread wheat)
Lineage: Eukaryota; Viridiplantae; Streptophyta; Magnoliopsida; Poales; Poaceae
Source: Rfam
GGGGAAAUAGCUCAGUUGGUUAGAGUGCUGGUCUGUCACGCCAGAAGUCGCGGGUUCGAACCCCGUUUCCCCCG